RNAcentral lists this ribosomal RNA (433 nucleotides) under uncultured bacterium. Its description in RNAcentral is "partial 16S ribosomal RNA". It matches the Rfam family "Bacterial small subunit ribosomal RNA", at positions 29 to 507 of the family's 1533-position model. The record is from RNAcentral.
AACGAACGCUGGCGGCAUGCCUAACACAUGCAAGUCGAACGAGACCUUCGGGUCUAGUGGCGCACGGGUGCGUAACGCGUGGGAACCUGCCGUUAGGCGCGGAAUAACUCCCCGGAAGGGGUGCUAAUACCGGAUAAUGUCUUCGGACCAAAGAUUUAUCGCCUUUGGAUGGGCCCGCGUUGGAUUAGCUAGUUGGUAGGGUAAAGGCCUACCAAGGCGACGAUCCAUAGCUGGUCUGAGAGGAUGAUCAGCCACACUGGGACUGAGACACGGCCCAGACUCCUACGGGAGGCAGCAGUGGGGAAUAUUGGACAAUGGGCGAAAGCCUGAUCCAGCAAUGCCGCGUGAGUGAUGAAGGCCUUAGGGUUGUAAAGCUCUUUUACCCGGGAUGAUAAUGACAGUACCGGGAGAAUAAGCUCCGGCUAACUCCGUG